AGUGAACGCUGGCGGUAGGCCUAACACAUGCAAGUCGAGCGGCAGCACAGUAAAGGCUUGCACUUACGGGUGGCGCGUGGCAGAGGGGCGUGGAAUACAUCGAACUUUCCUUUUUCGUGAGGGAUAACGUAGGGAAACUUGCGCUAUUACCCCAAACGUCAUACGUGUGAAUGCAGGGGAUCUUCAGAACUUGCGGUAUUGAAUGAGCCUGCGUCGCAUUAGCUAGUUGGUGAGGUAACGGCCCACCAAGGCGACGAUCCGUAGCUGAUCUGAGAGGAUGAUCAGCUACACUGGACCGGAGACACGGUCCAGACCACUACGGGAGGCAACAGUGGGGAAUAUUGGACAAUGGGCGCAAGCCUGACCCAGCCAUACCGCGUGGGUGAAGAAGUGCUUCUCGUUUUAAAGGCCUUUUGUUGUGAAAGAAAAGUAGCAGGUUAAUACCGCGCUUUUCUGACGGUACCCAAAGAAUAAGCACCGGCUAACUUCGUG
This 492-nucleotide ribosomal RNA is filed under the name uncultured bacterium. Its description in RNAcentral is "partial 16S ribosomal RNA". It matches the Rfam family "Bacterial small subunit ribosomal RNA", at positions 29 to 507 of the family's 1533-position model. The record is from RNAcentral.